RNAcentral lists this ribosomal RNA (699 nucleotides) under Chlorophyllum agaricoides. RNAcentral's name for it is "eukaryotic LSU rRNA". Lineage: Eukaryota; Fungi; Basidiomycota; Agaricomycetes; Agaricales; Agaricaceae. The record is from RNAcentral.
UUAUUGAAUUGUGUCUUCAAAGACACCUACUCGAUGGGUUGUCGCUGGCUCCUUGGAGCAUGUGCACACCUGUCUUGACUUCAUUCAUCCACCUGUGCACCAUUUGUAGUCUUUGGGGGGUUGAGAAUUGGCUGACUUGUCGGGAAAGGUCUCUUUCCUGGAUGUGAGGACUGCAGUGUGAAAGCACGGCUCUCUUCUACUGGCCAUGAAACCUCCCCCUGAGGUCUAUGUAUUUAUUCAUAUACCAUGUAGUAUGUUGCAGAAUGUCUCAUAUGGGCCUUUGUUGCCUAUAAAAUCAUAUACAACUUUCAGCAACGGAUCUCUUGGCUCUCGCAUCGAUGAAGAACGCAGCGAAAUGCGAUAAGUAAUGUGAAUUGCAGAAUUCAGUGAAUCAUCGAAUCUUUGAACGCACCUUGCGCUCCUUGGUAUUCCGAGGAGCAUGCCUGUUUGAGUGUCAUUAAAUUCUCAACUCCUCCAGCUUUUGUUAGUUGGCUUGGAGCUUGGAUGUGGAGGUUUGCUGGCCCCUUCUGUUUGGGUCAGCUCCUCUGAAAUGCAUUAGCGGAACCGUUUGCGAUCCGUCACAGGUGUGAUAAUUAUCUACGCCGGUGGGUUGCUCUCUGUGUGUUCAGCUGCCAAYCGUCUCUGCUUAAGGGACAACUUCUGAAUACUUGACCUCAAAUCAGGUAGGAUUACCCGCUG